Molecule: RNA transcript, 2093 nt
Organism: Metopolophium dirhodum (rose-grain aphid)
Lineage: Eukaryota; Metazoa; Arthropoda; Insecta; Hemiptera; Aphididae
Exons: 10
Source: RefSeq, a predicted model, not a curated record
CUUCCGGUUGCUGUAGAAAGACCACACUCCUACACCGUAGUUUUAGGAGUUCAAAGGGGCACAGAAAUUAUAAGAGACAAUCUUGGGUUUAUGUACUAUAAAAACAAAGUAACAGAGAAUAAAAUUUACUUGGCAUGUUACGAAAAGAAAUUGGAAGGACAGUGCCGGGCAACUGCUCACAUAUCUCCGGACCGCAAUGAUGAUAGGUUGACACUGUCGAAGCAACAUUUUCAUCAUGUCAGGGAACUUAAUCUCAAUGUUCCACUGCUUCGACAGGAGAUAACUGAAAGGGCUUUAGAGAGAACCAUAAACUCGUAUACUCCACGUGGAAUUUAUAUGCAAGCAAUUGCUAAUUUUCCAGAAGCUGCAGAAAAUUAUACCUUUCUACAGAGUGUAGAGAGGAUGCGGCGUAUAAGACGUAAGUUUUUCCCGCAGACUCCACGAAACAUGGCACAUUUGCACGAUUUGUUGACAGCUGCUGAUAAUGAACAUUUUGCAAUGACACUGCAAAACCCUCCUAACAGGUUUUAUCAAGGUCCAUUGAUGGUAGAGGGAAUCGUCAGUGGAGUCAUUUUUUGUAACGUCGCCAAUAUCAAUAUGAUUGCACCAGAUUUGAGAAGUGUCCGUGUAGCAGGGUGUGAUGGCACGUUUAAAACUGUACCAAAGUUUUUAGAAAAUGACGCCUAUCAGUUGUUUUCUUUCCAAGUGGUAUUUAAGGAUGUAAGCUUCCCUUUAGUUCAUGCCAUUUUGAUUGGAAAAACUCAACAAAUUUAUGUUGAAUUACUACAGUACAUAAGAAAUGUGCUUCCAUUAUGUUAUGAUCAGCUCAAAAUUAUUACUGAUUUUGAGCUAGGGCUAAUCAAUGCAGUCAAUUUAGUUUUUCCGGAAAGUAAACACCAAGGGUGUUACUUUCAUUACUGUCAAGCAGUAAUAAGAUAUGUCAGAAAUAAGAGGAGCAACAUAUUUCAAUUAUUCAAAGCUGACAAUAAUGCUGCUCGUGUGCUUCGAAUGAUUUUAGCAUUACCAUACUUACCAGCUACACAAAUUGGUGAUGUUUUGCCUUCAAUGGAGGAUGGGUUUCAUAGCAUUGUUGAAAAAGGAGAGAAAAGUUAUACAUUGAAGCUUGUAUAUUAUGUUGUUAUUUCUUAAUGUUGCACGAUUCAAUUCAUGUUUAACUCUAACCAAAUCUAUAUGUUUGUGUCUCAGGUAAGUAUAUAUACAUUAUAAAAUACAGAUACAGGUAAGCACUAUAUAUGUGUAUGCUGUUUGUGUUAACCACCAACACUUAAGUAUCAGUAUUGAGAAAAUUUUAGAAAUAAUCAAUAAAGAAUAAAAAUAUUUGGCUUAGUAAGUAGUAACAGUUUUAAAAUAUAUAGGAGUAAUCCCUAAUUUAUACAUUUUUUAUUUUAUAGAAAAUAAAAAAAAGGAUAAAUUGUGCAUUGUUACUUGUAUGAGUUGUUAUAUGUUUAACAUAAAACAAAACUUUAUGUUAGUGUCUCAGGUAAGUAUAUUAUAUACACAGAAUACAGAUACAGGUAAGCGCUAUAUAUGAGUAUUAAGUUUAUGUUAACCACCAACACUAAAGUGUUAUUAAUCAUUACUGAGAACAUUUUAGACCUCAAGAAAAAUUUUAUUUUUAAUCUUAAUAGUUAUUGUUAUUUUAUGUUUUAGUAAGAUUUAAUUUGGUAAGUUAUAAAAAUAACUAGAUUUUAUGUUUAGAGUACAUGUAUAUGGAUCCUAGAUAACCUUAGAAGCUUUUAUCUUAGACCUUAGUAUCAACUAAUACUCAAUACUAUAAACUAAUAACUAUAAAUCACAAUGUAGAUACUAUAACAUUAUAAUAUUAUUAGUAAGUACUUCUAAUAAACAACUUACUUUAAUUUAUUACAGUUCAGUUACAAUUUCUGGAAAACCAGCAGUAUACUGAAUUUCGUCAGGCUAAGAACAAUUUAAAUAUUCGAAAUGGAGUACCAACUAGAGCAAGAAUACAGAACUCUGAUGCAAUUAGGAACUUCCUUCAGGAACUUGCUACAGAUAUGAGCCCUACUCGAAUAUUUACAUUUUUAAGGCGUGCUGGUCAUAGGGUGGAUGGG